CUCUGGCACCUCACUCUUGUCAACCUGCAGGUACCACCAGGAUUUAGCUGUCCAAGUCAACAUGGAAAAAGGAGACUGAGCAAAACUGAGGGUUUUAAACCUGUGUCUGUGCUUAAGUAUUGAGAUGAAAGAAAAAAACUUCAAAUUUUCUCAAGCUGAUUCAAUAUAAAUGUCUAGAAUACCAAGAAUCUACUGAUGAGAACUCAACACACGAGAAGGAAUGCAUGCCUGACACCAUCUAGAGGCUAACACAGAGACCUAUGGUAGAACCAAACAUGACCAGCAAACAAACAAACCAAAUUCUGCUACUUAUAAAACCAAGCCUAGCAUUAUCAUCAACAGAGAGGCUUCAUCCAGCAACUCAUGGGAGCAGAUGCAGAGACAAUCAGCCAAAGAAAAUUCUUCUGAAGAGGCUGGGGAUUGUAGAAGUCAGAGGAGUCAAGAGCAUCACAAUAACAGGCCCCAAAGAAUCAACUAACCAAAGUUCAUAGUGGCUCGCAGAGACAGACCCAAAAAACACAGAUCCUGGAUGGGUCUAAUCUAGAUCAUCUGCAUAUAUGUUGUGUAGAUUGAUGUAGGGUGGACUGUGUUUGUCUUUUUCCCUUGAUUUUGAAACCCCUUUCCUCAUACUGGUUUAUCAAGCCUAGCCUUAAUAUAAGGGGACUAAUCUUAUUGUGACCUCAUAUGCAAUGUUUGGCUGAUAUCCCUGGAAGCCUGCUCUUAUCUGAAGGGAAAGGAGAAUGAAUAGACAUGGGGAAGAGUUAAGGGGAGGCAGGGAGAUGAUGAGAGAGGGAAGCUUCAGUAGGAUGUAAUUAAUAUAAAAAUGAAUAAAUAAAAAUGGAAAAAGAAAAAAGA
This is a long non-coding RNA of Mastomys coucha (southern multimammate mouse), 855 nucleotides long. RefSeq lists it as uncharacterized. The record is from RefSeq and is a predicted model, not a curated record. NCBI's taxonomy places the organism in Eukaryota, Metazoa, Chordata, Mammalia, Rodentia, Muridae. The transcript is spliced from 3 exons.